This 253-nucleotide ribosomal RNA is filed under the name uncultured bacterium. Its description in RNAcentral is "partial 16S ribosomal RNA". It matches the Rfam family "Bacterial small subunit ribosomal RNA", at positions 524 to 776 of the family's 1533-position model. The record is from RNAcentral.
UACGUAUGGUGCAAGCGUUGUCCGGAAUUAUUGGGCGUAAAGAGCUUGUAGGCGGUUUGUCGCGUCUGCUGUGAAAUUUCGGGGCUCAACCCCGAACUUGCAGUGGGUACGGGCAGACUAGAGUGUGGUAGGGGAGACUGGAAUUCCUGGUGUAGCGGUGAAAUGCGCAGAUAUCAGGAGGAACACCGAUGGCGAAGGCAGGUCUCUGGGCCACUACUGACGCUGAGAAGCGAAAGCAUGGGGAGCGAACAGG